This 253-nucleotide ribosomal RNA is filed under the name uncultured bacterium. RNAcentral describes it as "partial 16S ribosomal RNA". It matches the Rfam family "Bacterial small subunit ribosomal RNA", at positions 524 to 776 of the family's 1533-position model. The record is from RNAcentral.
UACGUAGGGUGCGAGCGUUAAUCGGAAUUACUGGGCGUAAGGCGUGCGCAGGCGGUUUUGUAAGCCAGUCGUGAAAUCCCCGGGCUUAACCUGGGAAUGGCGAUUGGGGCUGCAAGGCUGGAGUAUGGCAGAGGAGACUGGAAUUCCUGGUGUAGCAGUGAAAUGCGUAGAUAUCAGGAGGAAUACCGAUGACGAAGGCAGGUCUCUGGGCUGAUACUGACGCUCAUGCACGAAAGCGUGGGGAGCAAACAGG